This 195-nucleotide non-coding RNA is filed under the name Francisella adeliensis. RNAcentral's name for it is "6S RNA". It matches the Rfam family "6S / SsrS RNA". Rfam says of the family: E. coli 6S RNA was the first non coding RNA to be sequenced, but its function was unknown until recently. The record is from RNAcentral. Lineage: Bacteria; Pseudomonadati; Pseudomonadota; Gammaproteobacteria; Thiotrichales; Francisellaceae.
AGCUACCUGGGUUGUUUGUGAUUUAGUUACAAUCUUGAGCCGAUAAUACUAAAAUAGGGAGUUUUGGUGUUUUGACUAGAGAGUAAGCUUUGAUACAUUAGUAUUCACAAAGAAACCCAAUGUUGGAACUAUGACACCCACUUGAACCUUAAAGGGAUCAAGAACAUUGAACUAAAACGGUAACUCGGGUAGCUA